This 1285-nucleotide long non-coding RNA is filed under the name Phascolarctos cinereus (koala). RNAcentral describes it as "lncRNA (ENSPCIG00000036839.1)". The record is from RNAcentral. Lineage: Eukaryota; Metazoa; Chordata; Mammalia; Diprotodontia; Phascolarctidae.
UAUUACUUUAACCUAUACACGAGUUAUAGGCAUUGAUUGUCGUUCAUAUUUCAUUCUCAGAGAGAACCAGUGACAACAGGAGUGUGAUAUCUUGACUUGUGAGUGAAUUAGAUUCAAGUGAGACAGAACUGUGCAAAGUCUUCAGCUCCACUCUCUGCUCCAGAGUUGUCAGAGUCCAGGGCAAGAGACAGGUCAGCACCGCUGGAGGUGGCCCCAGCUGCAGUGGGAAACCCUCAGAAUUUCCAGCCGGAAUCGAAGGUGCCCAGAGCCAGAGAACCUCCACAAUGAAAAAACUAGAAUAUGAGGAAAAACAAGAUUUUUAUGGAAGGCCUCUGCAACACAUAUUCAGUCCUAAAUAAACCAAUAUUUGUAUGAAUUGGAGGUGAAGAAAGAGAGGAAGAACAGUUUUUGCAACACUGAUUUCCAGGUGAUGAAUUAUCUGCAUGAGACUAUUGGUUCAAUUAUUCUGAUGACAUUGAACUGGUGGUUUUACUUUUUUUUUAUAAAGCCUUGUUGAUACCUUGUUGGUUUGAUAUACAGUAGAUGAUUCUAUAGAGAAAAAGAAAAAAGUUUGGCGACCACCACAUAUUCACUAGAUAUGUUUCCACAUGACUUUGGGAGAUCUCCUUAACAAGUGAUUGAAGCAACAUUAUUGGGUUUUAACAAUUGAAAAUAUCCUACUAUGAGAAAUGGUAAAAUUAGCUUUGUAAUUUGUUUUACUCUUUCACUUGCUUUUCUGCUGUGAAAGCUCAACAACCAAAAUGGACUUAUAAUGUGAAAUGAGGAGAAAGCAUUUCCUAAAUUAGGAACCAACUUAGUUAUAAGGAGAAAAUUCUAAAUGACAACUUUUCUGUCAUUCUAUUGCUCUUUAAUCUUAAAGAAGAAGGCUGUCUGUCUCUUCUUCUGUACAUAAAUGUGGUCAUAGAUUCUUAUUUGAAGGUAAAGGACAUGGGCCAUCCAUAAAGAGUUGGUAGAGUCUUCAUUUUUAGAGCUGGAAAAGAUCUUAGAUAACAUGUAUUCCAAUCCCUCACUUUGAGAGAUGAAGAAUCAGAGGCCCAGAGAAGUAAGUCACCAAAAACACUGAUCUGGCAACCAGGAUUCGAGACCUGUCUUUCCUGCCUUCAACAAAUUACUUUAUUUCUUUGUAUCACACCUUUCCUAAUCUGUAAAACAAGGUUGAGAAUACUUGAACUACCUUCUUCAUAGCAUUCCUCUACUGGUAUUUUACCAUUAACAUAAUAUGAUAACAUAAUCUAAUAAAUGUAAAAGCACUUUGAAAAGUUCA